This 1103-nucleotide long non-coding RNA is filed under the name Gossypium barbadense (sea-island cotton). Its description in RNAcentral is "long non-coding RNA (GBAR_LNC011743)". The record is from RNAcentral. Lineage: Eukaryota; Viridiplantae; Streptophyta; Magnoliopsida; Malvales; Malvaceae.
UGAGUUUGACCGAGCUUGACGUCGAGCUUCCGCCCAAAUUUCCUCCGGCCAACCCUGCUAGAUUUUUUACUUCGGAAGCUCAAUAAGCUUGUUGCUAUUCGACUUGCCAUGGCCAAUGGUCUCGCAAAUAUAACAAAUAAGCGGUAGCUGCUCAUAACUAAAUGAGGCUUCAGGAGGUUCACCACCAGCCUUUCCAAGCUUUUUCUGCCGCAUAAAAGGAGUAAGAAUGUUCAAACGAACUUGGAUCCGUGUAUAGUUAUUCAUAUAGUUGCAUCAGUUGGUAGUGUCACGGAACUCAAUAUGCUCUGGAUUCUCCCCUUGGAUUGUUCAAACGAACUUGGAUCCGUGUAUAGUUAUUCAUAUAGUUGCAUCAGUUGGUAGUGUCAUAAUUGAGGAACUUACCCAUAAGGUUGCCCAUUACACGCCAAGCUCUCUGAUACGAAACCAGGAGGCAAGUCAUGUACAUGUACCCAAAAAUCGGCAUGACGGAACUCAAUAUGCUCUGGAUUCUCCCCUUGGAUAGUUGAUGUAUAAAAAAGAAACAGUUGUUGAAAGACAACGAACUCCCGAAACCAUCUUCCCAGAUCCACCGCAUGGUAAAACUGUAUCAAGUACAGGCCCGUAUCCCCAAUCGGUUUGAUCAUUGCCCCUUAAAGCAGUCUCCAUAGUGACAACAAAGUUCUUUCCCUUGCCGGGAAAUUAAUGGUCCGCUCCUUGAGAAACUUCCUCACCGGACAAAGCUCAUAGAUGAUAUCAUCCUCAAGAUCGACGUCCAACUCUACCACUAAUUUCGUGUCCUCCUUCUCAGCCAAGGAAAGAUUACUGGAAUCCAACUCCAUGACAAAACACCACCCGAAAGAACAAUGAAGCCUGAACAACUCAUUCCGGAAAACUAAGAAAAGAGGAGAGAGAGAGAGAGAGAGACUGUUGUUAUAUUUUACAAAAGAAUUUAAUUUUUUUCAAAAUUUUAUAAGUUUACGUUCUAUUUCUUGCUUCACUUAAAAACGUAAAAUUAAGUUUAUUACAUGACAUGCAAAGAAAGUUAGCAACGAAAUGCCAAAUAUAUUGUAAUUCCAAAAAAAUCUAUAAAAAGUUAGUAGCCC